Long non-coding RNA from Macaca fascicularis (crab-eating macaque), 1952 nucleotides. Lineage: Eukaryota; Metazoa; Chordata; Mammalia; Primates; Cercopithecidae. The record is from Ensembl.
GUUUUCAAGCCGGGCUGUCGGUCUUCUGCACUCAGACUGGAACUUACACCAGUGGCUCGCCCAGGCCUCCAGCUUGCCGACUGCUGAUUUUUGGACUUGACAGCCUCCACCUCCACAGCGGCAUGAAAAAUUCCUCAUCAUCAAUCUCUCUAUGCAUAUAUCCUAUCUAUCCUUUCGGUUCUAUUUCUCUGGGGACCCCUAGAACAACACGCAAGGUGAGAGGCCCUUGAGGAGGACUGACUGUGGCUCGCUGGUCUAAAGCUCUAAGCUGCUACUGCUGCUGACUCCAGCUCUGCAGAAGAUACAGUGGUGACAUCUCCUGGGCUUGGACAGCCAUGCUCCCAGACAAGAGCUUCUGCUGUGCUCCCAGAUGAGAGCCAGAGCCCCACCUGUCAGGAGGCCACACUCAUGCCCAGGACUUCUGGGCCUCGGCAGUGCUCCCAAGGGUGUGGCACCAGGUGCAGCAGGGCAGCAGGUGGAAUGCAGGAGCAGGCAGGAAAAUCCAACUCUUCCGAGUCAGACACUCGAGAGCUCUGCAGACACGAAGACAAUGCCACGCCGCCCCCUAAAUGCUUUUUGUUUUGGAAAAUACAGCUGUUUGUCAUAAGAUAACCGGAAGCAGCAGAGAAAACAUCUGAAGUGCUUCCUGGACACACUGGUUAGGAAGUUUCUGCAAGAACCCAGGUUCUCCUCCCCACCAGACUCGGAGAUUUUAACUUGAUCAUCUCUGCAAAGACCUUAUCUUCAAAUACAGUUACAUUCUGAGGUCCUGGUAGUUAGGGCUGCAACACCCGAAUUGGAGGGGACGUAAUCCAGCUCCUGACAAUACCGCAUAUGACAGCUGCGUCUCUGCCUGUAGUACUGUUUUUUCCAGUGAAAGCAUCUGUGAAUGUAUUCAGAAAGCCUCCUUUUGGGGCCAGGCCUUGCAGAGAAUCCUUCAGAAACUGGACAACGCCACCCAAGGCAGUCAGUGGGGAGGACGCAUUGGGUGCCUCAUUGGUCCCUGGAUCUGCCUCACAGUCCUCUAUGUUCUUCCUCAUUCCCUCUCCUCUUUCUCCGCUUUGGUUGACCUUGACGCUCAUUCCUGGGGAAGGCCCCGGUGGGAGCAGUGCAGUGACAAGAGGAGCCUGUUUCCGUCAGCACCCUCACGCUCUCCAGUGGUCCACUGGAGACACCUGUGACCUCCUCAUGCUAAGGAGCCCAGAGUGGGCAGCCCUCGGGCCCAGGCUCCAUCUGGAUGAAUAAACUGAGGCAAGAUAUAGUGACUCAGCUGAGGCCACACCGCAGUUUAAUGGGGAAGCCAGGAUGAGAGCUGGCGGCUUCUAUGUCUGUGAUCUACACUCUGGUGGCAGAGGACGUCAGAGACCCAUGUCAACGGUGAGGAGGUGACAUGCUGGUCCCUUCCAUAAAAGCUGUUUCAUAAAAUUAAAACACACACACAGUAAAGAUCCAGAUUUACAGAAGUGAGCAUGAGGGGCUAUUUGCCAGUCAACAGAUCUCCCCCAGUGGUUCUUCACUUGGGGCUGAGAUGCUACUGACCGGCAGGGCCUGGGGAGAGAACUUCUUGCUCCCCCUAGAGCUGGCUGACCCAUACGCAGGGGAUUCUGAGCGCUAGGGGCUGGGAGCAGCAUGUGCCACGUGUUUCCCAGGAGUUAGUCAUGUUUGCUCCUAAAACCUAUUGCAAUCGAGGAAUCUAAUUAAACAACACAGCAACUGCAGAAACAGUGCAAAAAGAAUGAGUGACUGUUUCUAUGAAAACUUAGAUGAACUACUUUGGAAAGAUUCAAUAAAGAGCAUGCCUAAAUAUAUACACUGGGGCUAGGAGCAGUGGUUCAAACCUGUCACCCCAGUGCUUUGGGAGGCUAAGGUGGGAAGGUGGUUUGAGGCCAGGAAGUUGAAACCAGCCUGGGCAACAUAGCAAGACCCUGUCUCUACAAAAAAAAAAAAAAAAA